RNAcentral lists this long non-coding RNA (218 nucleotides) under Elaeis guineensis (African oil palm). RNAcentral describes it as "long non-coding RNA (EGUI_LNC049247)". Lineage: Eukaryota; Viridiplantae; Streptophyta; Magnoliopsida; Arecales; Arecaceae. The record is from RNAcentral.
CCUUUUCAUUUAGAAGCGUGAAUGUGGGGGUUGCUGUCAGCAGGGAUGGCCUCCUCUACCAUAUUUUUUCUUUUUGAAAAAGAGGGUAAAGACUAGAAUGCGGAUAGGGAGUUGAUCGUGUACAGUUACAUGUUGAUGCCCUUGCGAUUCGAAACUGCUCCCCUCCCCUAUCUGGAUCAACUCCAUUGGAAGAGAAAAAAAAUGAGUGGUUUUGAUUG